This 843-nucleotide ribosomal RNA is filed under the name Thermococcus sp. Tc85_12. RNAcentral's name for it is "bacterial SSU rRNA". It matches the Rfam family "Archaeal small subunit ribosomal RNA", at positions 50 to 888 of the family's 1478-position model. The record is from RNAcentral. Lineage: Archaea; Methanobacteriati; Methanobacteriota; Thermococci; Thermococcales; Thermococcaceae.
CAUGCGAUCAUGGGGCGCGCUCUGCGCGCACCGGCGGACGGCUCAGUAACACGUCGGUAACCUACCCUCGGGAGGGGGAUAACCCCGGGAAACUGGGGCUAAUCCCCCAUAGGCCUGAGGUACUGGAAGGUCCUCAGGCCGAAAGGGGCAUCUGCCCGCCCGAGGAUGGGCCGGCGGCCGAUUAGGUAGUUGGUGGGGUAACGGCCCACCAAGCCGAAGAUCGGUACGGGCCAUGAGAGUGGGAGCCCGGAGAUGGACACUGAGACACGGGUCCAGGCCCUACGGGGCGCAGCAGGCGCGAAACCUCCGCAAUGCGGGCAACCGCGACGGGGGGACCCCCAGUGCCGUGGCAUCGCCACGGCUUUUCCGGAGUGUAAAAAGCUCCGGGAAUAAGGGCUGGGCAAGGCCGGUGGCAGCCGCCGCGGUAAUACCGGCGGCCCGAGUGGUGGCCGCUAUUAUUGGGCCUAAAGCGUCCGUAGCCGGGCCCGUAAGUCCCUGGCGAAAUCCCACGGCUCAACCGUGGGGCUUGCUGGGGAUACUGCGGGCCUUGGGACCGGGAGAGGCCGGGGGUACCCCUGGGGUAGGGGUGAAAUCCUAUAAUCCCAGGGGGACCGCCAGUGGCGAAGGCGCCCGGCUGGAACGGGUCCGACGGUGAGGGACGAAGGCCAGGGGAGCGAACCGGAUUAGAUACCCGGGUAGUCCUGGCUGUAAAGGAUGCGGGCUAGGUGUCGGGCGAGCUUCGAGCUCGCCCGGUGCCGAAGGGAAGCCGUUAAGCCCGCCGCCUGGGGAGUACGGCCGCAAGGCUGAAACUUAAAGGAAUUGGCGGGGGAGCACUCACAAGGG